UACAUAGGGUGCAAGCGUUGUCCGGAAUUAUUGGGCGUAAAGAGCUCGUAGGCGGUUCGUCGCGUCGGCUGUGAAAUCCCGAGGCUCAACCUCGGGUCUGCAGUCGAUACGGGCGGACUGGAGUUCGGCAGGGGAGACUGGAAUUCCUGGUGUAGCGGUGAAAUGCGCAGAUAUCAGGAGGAACACCGGUGGCGAAGGCGGGUCUCUGGGCCGAUACUGACGCUGAGGAGCGAAAGCGUGGGGAGCGAACAGG
This 253-nucleotide ribosomal RNA is filed under the name uncultured bacterium. RNAcentral describes it as "partial 16S ribosomal RNA". It matches the Rfam family "Bacterial small subunit ribosomal RNA", at positions 524 to 776 of the family's 1533-position model. The record is from RNAcentral.